GAUGAACGCUGGCGGCGUGCCUAAUACAUGCAAGUCGAGCGAAGCGGGGACGGGUGAGGAACACGUGGAUAACCUACUCUACGACUGGGAUAACUUCGGGAAACCGGAGCUACACACGAUACUUAUAGAUGGAUCCGCGCUGCCUUGGCUAGUGGGUAAGGUAACGGCUUACAAAGGCAACGAUGCAUAGCCGACCUGUGAGGGGGACUGACCACCUUGGAACGGAGAAACGGUCCAGAAUCCUACGGGAGGAAGAAGUAGGGAAUCUUCCGAAAUGGGCGAAAGCCUGACGGAGCAACGCCGCGUGAGUGAGGAAGGUCUUCGGAUCGUAAAACUCUGUUAUUAGGGAAGCGGUACCUAAUCAGAAAGCCACGGCUAACUACGUGCCAGCAGCCGCGGUAAUUC
This 405-nucleotide ribosomal RNA is filed under the name uncultured bacterium. RNAcentral's name for it is "partial 16S ribosomal RNA". It matches the Rfam family "Bacterial small subunit ribosomal RNA", at positions 28 to 526 of the family's 1533-position model. The record is from RNAcentral.